ACAGCUAGAGGAGGUGACAGAUUGGGAGGCAGGCAAAAGGAACCAGGCGGUUCUCCUUCCAUGGUUGGGCCUCGACCUGCCACAUCUUCCUCCUCCCAGUCCGGCGAAGAGGAGUGGCGGAUCCGCUUCCUCAAGCGAGCAGGGGCGCACGGGGAUUCGGAUCUCGUUGCGAGAGGCCGCCACCAUAGAAGUAGGUCCGCGGUGCCGUCACUCUGCUCAAGCUACUGAUUCAUCCCGUGCGGCGGCAGAAGGAGGUCCUGCAGCCUGCUUCCGUACUACUCCUUGCCGUGUGGGUCGAAAUCUCCAGCGGUGCUGUCGUCUGGGUGAGCCCCCCGUCACGGCUGAGACCAGCUCGCCGCCGUCGGCCAUGCCACUCUUGCCGGCGCACGGAGCACCUCCCCUCCAAGCACAGGUCGUUACAACACCGAUUAUGGAUAUGGAUUCAUCCAGCUGCGCUGGAUGAAGGGAUGGUUGGAAUAAGAAUUGCAUGUGACAAACAAGUGCUUCCUCUAGAUGGGAUUCCAAAUGUCAGGUGGUUUGGUGUAGAGAGGGUGAUUACAAUGUUUUGGUGAUGGACCCACUGAGGCCAAGCCUUGAGCAUCUUUUCGUUUAGUUUUAUCUUUGUUUGCUGAGAUAAGAGAGAUCGUACUCAUUCCAAUUCCGGAUAAUUUGUCUGCAUAGCCUUCGAAUGGCACAUACUGACCUCAGACUGGAGAAUGUUCAUGUAAGACCAGUAGACAAACGUUGUCAAAGAAAGAUUUCUGAUUCUCAGAUAAUUAUACUAUUGAGAUGUUCACAAAGGGCGUCCCUAAUGCAAGGAUGCACUUGAAUACUCUUCAGGAGAGCAGGAAAAAUUUGCAUAUUACCUAAAUAGAGUUUCCAUAUUAUUUAUUUAUUUGUUUUGCUUUUGUGCAGCAAUUAGAUUUUCCGACACUAAUAUUGUUGUUUGUUGCAGACAUGGUUGUCACACAUGCGUCCUAUCCCAAUGGCUCAAAUUGUUGGUCCUCGCAUGGCAAUGUCCCUGCUUGUAUUCAUGGAGUUGGUCAGCAACUCUCUUAUGGCCAGCAACCUCCAACGUUUAUUAACCCUCUACAGACGAGCCUUCCAAAAUACGGGUCAUCUUGUCUGAUGGUCUCCUCUCCUGCCGUCGCCGCCGCCGGAGAAGCUCGCCUCCGCGCCCACAAGCCUCGGAUUCGGCGGGAUCCAGGACGAGGAGGGGUGGAUGAGACGGGGGAGGAGGAGGAGGAGAGCGUGGGGGCGUCCGGGGAGGAAUAUCCCCGCCGCCUCCUCCGCUCGUGACGCAGGGCCUCGGGCCAUGGGGGCAUUCGUUGCAGGAGCCUCGCCGCUGACCUCCCGUGCGCGGCACCCGGCCCUGGCAGCGCCAAUCUCCCCUUCACACACAGAUCGGGUCGUAGUCGGAGCACAACUAAGGUUGGCGCUGCUCAAGUGUUUGCAGCGGGAUCCUCUUCUACAACGGCGAUGACAAGGACUCCGCUCCCAGUUCAGUCUAUCAACUACACACACAACUCCUGGACCUGCCUUCAGAUUUAAGGCAAGCGCUUCAGUACUUCCUUGUGUUGCAUAGUCACUAGACUGGGUUUUCUUUGAUUCUAUGAUUGGUUUGUUUUCAUCGCAAUGUAUGUGUCCACACAAUCAAAAGGAUCAAGAUAGCUUCACAUAGAUUAGUUAAUUGGCCAGGUACAUACGAAGUUGUGAAUCUAAACAGGACGCACCUACAUCACCACACCAAUAUGUUGUGUGUAACACGACCAUUCCUAACAUACCAUGGUUUGCAUGCUGGAUAACCGAUGUGUGUUAAGAUGAGCAGCAGCACGCUCACACAUUAUCUUUGCCGUUUAAAUAACCAUAUUUGUUCUAUGAAGUUUCUGUUAUAUAUCUCUAUGUCCAUGUACUUCUCAAAAGUUACCUUGGAUGAGAAGCAUUGUUUUGCUGGUCUUUGUGAAGACAAGAUAGGAAGAUCCAUAUUCUUGAUCAAUCAAAUAUGGUCAAAACUGUAGUUUUUUCACCAGUGUAAUCUUAUUAAUAACUUCGACCAAAAGUCCUACAAUCUCAUUAGUAAUCAGGUGUGGACAAAUAUGUUUUUAGUCCAGUUUGAUCUAAUAUAUCCUAUUGAAGCGUACUUUGACCAAACGUCCUACAAUCUCAUUAGUAAUUAAUCAGGUGUGGACAAAUAUGUUUUUAAUCCAGUUUGAUAUGAUAUUUUCAAUUGAAGCAACAAAACCAUCGUAUUUGGCUUUCCGUAAGCACCAAGUUAGCAAUAAUAGAGUUGAUUAGUAGCUGAUACAGUGCUAUGAAUUUUUAUUAUAGUCGUCGUUGGUAUCAAACUAUCAAAUCAGUUUAUACAGUAGAAACUUGGACAGUGCUAAGAUGGAUUAGCACGUACAGUUGUAAACUACAGAAAAAAGAUUAUUUGUCCAUUAGUCGAUACCGAAUUUGAUCAUAUAUAUUGUUCUAUUGAGCUUAUUAUUGUAAAGUCACCAACAAGUUGAAUCAGCUAUAAGCCUCUAAGAAGGGUAUAGCCGCCUCUGCUUCCGCAUUACAUCUCCAUGUAAGUUUCUAAUGUACGUUCACAUAUAAUUUUGGUUGACAUUAUCUCUUCUGUGAAUUCUGCUUGCAUUUUUUCAGUUGAAACAGUAACCGAAUUUGAUAAGUAUGCAACGAUUUCUGCCCUGCAGCAUGAGUAAAAUGUUAUGAGUUAUCACUUCAGAUAAGUAACCACUAUAUUAUUUUCUCUGUGUAAUUGACCUGUACACAUGUUGUCGCUCUGCUUGAACCAUCGAUCUCUAUAUGUAUUUGAGCUCCUCUCACAGGCUGACUUACCCGAAUGGCUACUUUUAUUGCCUUUCGACAUGCGCAAGUAUUUGAGUAGCAUGUGACUAAUCUUACAGCCCCCUCCCCUGAUGUUUGGGAUGAAUGUUGUAAAAUGUUUCACAAAUAGAUGAUGGAUUGAUGCAAUGUCUUACCCAAUACAAAAGAAAAUCACCCCGAUAGUCUGAAUGUCAAGCAUUUUAUGUUUCUGUUUAUGUUUACAGAACGUGGGAAGGGGGCAUGGCGCACUAUUUCACCUUCAGGAGAGAAUUGCAGUGUCUUAUUUUGUUCAUUUUUCUUGCACGAGUUG
This is a long non-coding RNA of Triticum dicoccoides, 3139 nucleotides long. RefSeq lists it as uncharacterized. NCBI's taxonomy places the organism in Eukaryota, Viridiplantae, Streptophyta, Magnoliopsida, Poales, Poaceae. The transcript has 7 exons. The record is from RefSeq and is a predicted model, not a curated record.